GCUGGGCUUUGUGGCACAUGUCUAUAAUCUCUGCUCAUGGGGAGAUUAAGGCUGGUGAAAUCACUUAUGCUUGACAAUUCUGAGCUGCAGUAGGGCUGAAGCAGAUUGGGUGUCCUCACUAAGUCUAGCACCAGUAUAGUUAGCCUUUGAGAACAGAGAGCCCCCAUGCUGCUUAGAGAGGGGUGAAAUGGCGCAGGUCAGAAAUGGAGUAGGUCACAACUUCCAUACUGAUCAGCAGUGGGGCUGUGCUAUGAGUGGCUGCUGCACUUCCAAUCUGUGAGAUCUUAA
This 288-nucleotide non-coding RNA is filed under the name Phascolarctos cinereus (koala). The record is from RNAcentral. Lineage: Eukaryota; Metazoa; Chordata; Mammalia; Diprotodontia; Phascolarctidae.